GAUGGAAGUUACUGUGCACCAUUUCGUUUUUCGGACUCUUUAAAGAUCGCCUUUUGGAUCAAGUGUUGUGCGUGAAUGUAUAAUGGCUCAGAUGUCGGGAGUAAAUGAUGACUGCAAUGAUCAUUAUUACAUCAUAGUCAACACAAUGGCCAUCAGAGUCGGACUGUUCACAGCUCAGUCAGGACGGGUCUAAGAAAGCAGCGAGUGACUGACAGCCCCACAGAGGAGCACGCCUGGACACCCACUUUCAAGUACACGAGAGCAGCACCGAGCACCAGCCACGCCAACACCGGCUUUUC
Long non-coding RNA from Labeo rohita (rohu), 299 nucleotides. RefSeq lists it as uncharacterized. The record is from RefSeq and is a predicted model, not a curated record. The transcript has 3 exons. NCBI's taxonomy places the organism in Eukaryota, Metazoa, Chordata, Actinopteri, Cypriniformes, Cyprinidae.